UGACGGGGCAGCUCAUGACCAGAGAUCCCGGGAUUCCGUUUGACGCGGAUUGGAGUUUGAAAACGCGGAUUCGGCAGUUGGAGACGAAAAUUCAGAAAACUAUUUUAAACAAAACUAGAGAGAUCCUCGUUCAACAAACUCGCGUGCUCUCUCUGAAAUUGCGACGCCCAUUUUUCAAGUCGGAAGUAUGUUCUGCUCCCAACGCCAGUGAAAUAAAGAGAAGGUUACGCCUGCUGCUAUCGAGGCUAUCGAAUACUUCUGCAAGCAGAAAGUGGACGCAGACGACACGGUGACGUCAGUUGUCGUCUGCUCAUGUUCUGUAACUGCAAAAGAAUUGGUAUUCUGUUCAAGGUUCGCUUGUACGUACGCACAUAUUUUCUGUGGCGUUUUCAGCAAUGUGAACUCACAUUAUGUAGUACUCUAUUCAAAUGUGUGUUUCCCCUUCGUGAUUCGAUUCAACCAGAGCUGUGAAGCAAAACAUGUAUCCUUCCGAAAUUUACUCCAAAUCUGAUUGAUUUGCUUUGCUUU
Molecule: long non-coding RNA, 528 nt
Organism: Ornithodoros turicata
Lineage: Eukaryota; Metazoa; Arthropoda; Arachnida; Ixodida; Argasidae
Exons: 2
Source: RefSeq, a predicted model, not a curated record